UGGAGAGGGAGGAAAAGAAAAGUCCGUUAUUUCCAGGAGGAUCUGAGCAGAGUGCUGAUAAAGGUUCCCCCUGUGACACUGACAGUGCAUUUGCCAGCAGAGAGAGGUCUUGCCAGAAGAUGAAUGUCAUCAAAGACAACAGAGACCUGGCCUGUUUCUACACCACCAAACACUCCUGGAGGGGAAAGUACAAACGAGUCUUCUCCGUGGGCACUCAUGGCAUUACCACGUACAACCCCACCACGCUCGAAGUCACAAACCAGUGGCCGUAUGGGGACAUCUGUGGCAUCACCCCGGUGGGAAAGGGCCAAGGCACCGAGUUCAACCUCACAUUCCGCAAGGGCAGUGGCAAAAAGUCCGAAACGCUCAAGUUCUCCACAGAGCACCGGACAGAGCUGCUCACAGAGGCACUGAGAUUCAGGACAGACUUCUCUGAGGGAAAGAUAACUGGCAGGCGCUACAACUGUUACAAGCACCACUGGAGCGACACACGGAAGUCGGUGAGCCUGGAGGUGACCCCGGGGGGCAUCGACCAGAUCGAUCCCCAGACCAACCGGGUGGUGUGCUCCUACGACUACCGCUCCGUGGAGGGCUUCGCAGAGGUCAACGACUACCAGGGGGGCUUCUGCAUCCUCUAUGGGGGCUUCAGCCGCCUGCACCUGUUUGCGUCAGAGCACCGGGACGAGAUCAUCAAAAGCGCCAUUGAGCACGCAGGCAACUUCAUUGGCAUCACGCUGCGGCUGCGUAAGGACCCUCUGACCUUUGAGGACUUUGUGACGGACCGACUCGGGAAGUACGGCUCAGACGAGUCCAUCACCUCCCUGGCUGAGUUUGUGGUGCAGAAGAUCUCCCCACGCCACUUGGAGCCCGUCAAGAGGAUCCUGUGCCUGACCGAGACAUGUCUGGUGGAGAGAGAUCCAGCUUCCUACAACAUAGUCACCAUCAAGCCCUUUGGAGAGGUGUUUGCUCUCAUCUGCGAUGCGGAGAACCCCCAGGUGUUCACCAUAGAGUUCAUCAGAGGCCAGAUCAGGAAGUACUGCUCCACAGACAGGGACUCCCUGAUGGCCAGCCUGCUGGACGGGGUGCGUGCGUCGGGUAACAGGGACGUGUGUGUGAAGAUGGCCCCCACCCAGCGGGGCCAGCGCUGGGGCCUACUGAGCAUGCCUGUGGAUGAGGAAGUGGAGAGCCUGCACCUCAAAUUUCUGGCAACACCCCCUAAUGGAAACUUUGCAGAUGCAGUGUUCAGAUUCAACGCUAACGUAUCUUACAGUGGUGUGCUGCACGCCGUCACCCAAGAUGGUCUGUUUUCGGAGAACAAGGAGAAGCUGAUAAGCAAUGCUGUCUUGGCCCUGCUGUCACAGGAGUGUGAGCUGCCGGGCCCCAAUGCCGAGCUGGAGAGCCACUUCCAGGCACUCCGACGCCUAGUGGCCUCCAAGGCCGGCUUCCAGGCAUUCACACAGCUUCCCAAGUUCCGGGAAAAGUUGGGGGUGAAGACGGUGAAAGCUCUGAAGAGGAACAACAACGGAGUGACACAUGCCGCCAUAGACAUGCUUUGUGCUCUUAUGUGUCCGAUGCACGAUGACUAUGACCUGCGACAGGAGCAACUGAACAAGGCCUCCCUGAUGUCCUCCAAGAAGUUCCUGGAGAACCUUCUGGAGAAGUUCGUCAGCAACGUGGACCACGGCACGGGGGCGCUGGUGAUCAGCUCGCUGCUGGACUUCCUGACCUUUGCCCUGUGCGCCCCCUACAGCGAGACCAGCGAGGGACAGCAGUUUGACAUGCUGCUGGAGAUGGUGGCCUCCAACGGACGCACCCUCUUCAAACUCUUCCAGCACCCCUCUAUGGCCAUUGUGAAGGGAGCGGGCCUGGUGAUGAAGGCCAUCAUUGAGGAGGGGGAUAAGGAGAUAGCCACUAAGAUGCAGGAACUGGCUCUGAGUGAGGGAGCCCUGCCCAGACACCUGCACACCUCCAUGUUCACCAUCAGCUCAGACCAGAGGAUGCUCACCAACAGGCAGCUGAGUCGUCACCUGGUGGGCUUGUGGACAGCAGAGAACCCCAUCGCCAUGAGCCUCCUCAAGAGAAUACUGCCAACGGGGCUGCUGGCGUACCUGGACAGCCCUGAUGCCGUCCCGGAGAAAGACGUGGACAGGAUGCACAUCCGGGACAAUGUCAAAAUCGCCACGGACCAAUUUGGUCAGCAAAAGGUGCCCGACUGGCAGCGGGUGGCGGGAAAGGCAGCCAAAGAGGUGGAGAAGUUUGCCAAGGAGAAGGCCGACAUCGUGCUAAUGCACUGGAGGGACAAAAUGGGUAUCGCCCAGAAGGAGCAGGACAGAAAUAACCUGAACCCCAACCAAAAACCUGUCAUUCUGAGGAAGAGGAGACAGAGGAUCAAAAUCGAAGCCAACUGGGAGCUCUUCUACUACAGGUUCCAGUUGGAUCACGCGCGGUCCAACCUCAUCUGGAACCUGAAGACACGGGAGGAACUGCGGGACGCUCUGGAGGGAGAGAUGAGGGCCUUUGGCGUGGACCGCGAGCUGGGCAACGCUAGCGUCAUCUCCUGGAACCACCAGGAGUUUGAGGUGAGGUACGAGUGUCUUUCGGAUGAGAUUAAGAUUGGUGAUUAUUACCUGCGCCUGCUGCUGGAAGAGGAUGAGACGGAUGAGUCUGGGGCCAUCAAGAGAUCGUACGAGUUCUUCAAUGAGCUCUACCACCGUUUCCUGCUCACCCCCAAAGUCUCCAUGAAGUGCCUGUGCCUGCAGGCUCUCACCGUCGUCUAUGGGAAGUGCUGCGAGGAGAUUGGCCCCUUUACCGACACCAAGUACAUCGUUGGCAUGCUGGACCGGGCUACAGACAAACUGGAAAGAGACAGACUGAUCCUAUUCCUUAACAAACUCAUCCUCAACAAGAAAAAUGUGAAGGAGUUGAUGGACUCCAAUGGAGUCCGCAUCCUAGUGGACCUGCUCACCCUGGCCCACCUACACACCAGCCGAGCCACCGUCCCACUACAGAGCAACGUGAUCGAGGCCGGGGCGGACAUGAAGAGGGAGAGCGAGAAGGAGUGGUACUUUGGGAACGCAGACAAAGAGAGGAGGGGCCCCUUCAGCUUUGAAGAGAUGCAGGAGUUCUGGAGCAGUGGAGUGCUGACGGCCAAGACGAGGUGCUGGGCCCAGGGCAUGGACGGCUGGCGCCCCCUGCAGGCCAUCCCGCAGCUCAAGUGGUGCCUGCUGGCCAGCGGGCAGGCGGUGAUGAAUGAGACGGACCUGGCCACGCUCAUCCUCAACAUGCUCAUCACCAUGUGCUCCUACUACCCCAGCAGGGACCAGGACAAUGCCAUUAUUCGUCCCUUACCCAAGAUCAAGAGAAUGGUCAGCGAUAACACCUGCCUCCCUCACAUUGUCCAGCUGCUGCUGACCUUUGACCCCAUCCUGGUGGAGAAGGUGGCCAACGUGCUGUACCUGGUGAUGCAGGACAACCCCAACCUGCAGCGCCUCUACCUCACCGGCAUCUUUUUCUUCAUUAUGAUGUACACCGGCUCCAACGUGCUGCCAGUGGCCAGGUUCCUGAAGUACUGUCACCUGAAGCAGGCCUUCAAGUCAGAGGAGGCCAAAGGUACAGACAUCGUCCAGCGCAGUGUGCUGGGGCCGGUGAUGCCUGAGGCCAUGGUGUGUUACCUGGAGAACUACGAGGCAGAACGCUUCUCCGAGAUCUUCCUGGGAGAGUUUGACACGCCAGAGGCCAUCUGGAGCAGCGAGAUGAGGCGGAUGAUGAUUGAGAAAAUCGCGACCCACCUGGCUGACUUCAGCCCACGGCUGUACAGCAACACACGAGCCCUCUACCAGUACUGCCCCAUCCCUGUAGUCAGCUUCCCCCAGCUGGAGAACGAGCUCUUCUGUAACAUCUACUACCUCCGCCACCUGUGUGACGCCAACCGCUUCCCCAACUGGCCCAUCCGAGAGCCCGUGAAGCUGCUGAAGGACACCCUGGAGGCCUGGAAGAGGGAGGUGGAGAAGAAGCCUCCCUCCAUGUCUGUGGACGACGCCUACGAAGUCCUCAACCUGCCCAAGGGACAGGGACAACACGAGGAGAGUAAGAUCAGGAAGGCCUACUUCAGACUGGCUCAGAAGUACCACCCGGACAAGAACCCAGAGGGCAGGGAUAUGUUUGAGAAGGUCAACAAGGCCUAUGAAUUCCUGUGCACCAAGUCGUCCCGCAUCAUCGACGGCCCCGACCCCGAGAACAUCAUCCUCAUCCUCAAAGCCCAGAGCAUCCUCUUCAACAGACACAAACAAGAACUGGAACCCUACAAGUACGCCGGCUACCCCAUGCUCAUCAAGACCAUCACCAUGGAGACGGGUGAUGAGCAGCUGUUCUCCAAGACAUCCCCCCUGCUCCCGGCUGCAAUCGAGCUGGCCUUCCACACGGUCAACUGCUCCGCCCUAAACGCUGAGGAACUACGCAGAGAAAGUGGCAUCGAGAUUCUGUUGGACGCGCUGUCCCGGUGUGUCGCUGUUUUAACCGCUUCCAGCAAGUCUGAUGACAUGGCUGUUCAAGUGUGCGGCCAGGUGUGCAAGUGCUACAGUGUCGCGGCUCAGUUUGAGGAGUGCCGGGAAAAGAUCAUAGAGCUCCCCAACAUCAUCAGGGACCUCUGUCACGUGCUCUACUAUGGGAAGGGUCUCCCACGGACGGCGGCGCUGGCCGUGCAGUGCGUCAGCUCCUUCGCCGUGGAUUACUUUCUGCAGACGCACCUGUACCACGCCGGCGUGCUCUGGCACCUCCUGGUGCACCUGUUCAACUACGACUACACGCUGGAGGAGAGCGGCGUGGCCACCAGCCAGGACACCAACCAGCAGGAGGUGGCCAACAGCCUGGCCAAGCUUAGCCUAGUGGCCCUCAGCCGUCUGGGGGGCUACGCCCCACCCACCGGAGAGGGAGGUGUAGUGGCGACUAACGGGGUGGAGGGGCAACCCCCGGAGAACCCGACCAUUCGUAAGAGCCUGGCAGCCAUGCUCACACCCUAUAUUUCGAGGAGGUUAGGGUCGGCGGUACCGGCUGAGGUGUUGAAGCUGCUGAACAGUAACUCUGAGAACCCCUACCUUAUCUGGAACAACGGGACCCGGGCCGAGCUGCUGGAGUUCCUGGAGGCCCAGCAGGAAGCCAACAUCAGGAGGGGGGAGAACGAUAAGAGCUUUGGCUCAGAGUUUGUGUUCAGCGACCACGGUAAAGAGCUGAUCGUGGGUGAGAUCUUUGUCAGGGUCUACAAUGAGCAGCCUACCUAUCCUCUGGAGUACCCCAAGGCGUUUGCAGCCAGCCUGCUGGACUACGUGGGAUCCCAGGCCCAGUACCUCACCACCCUGCUGGCCAUGUCCCAGAGCAACAAGGUGGAGUCCCAGCAGCACGCAGAGAGGCUCCGCUGGGCCGAGAUGGCCCUGGAGGCCCUCCGCAACGUCAUCAAGAACAACCCAGGUUCGGAGACGGAGUGCAUCGGCCAUUUCAAGCUGCUGUUCUCCUUGUUACGGGUUCACGGGGCUGGGAAGGUACAGCAGCUAGCUCUGGAGGUUGUGAACACGGUCACCUCCAACCAGGACUGUGUGGCUAACAUCGCUGAGUCCCUGGUGCUGUCCAACCUACUGGUGCUACUGCACUCUCUGCCCUCCAGCCGGCAGCUUGUACUGGAAACUUUAUACGCCUUGACCUCCAACACCAAGAUAGUCAAAGAAGCUAUGACUAAGGGUGCGUUGAUCUACCUGCUGGACCUCUUCUGUAACUCCACCCACCCCCAGGUGCGCUCCCAGACGGCCGAGCUCUUCUCCAAAAUGACCUCUGACAAGCUGGUGGGGCCCAAGGUGCGGCUGACUCUGAUGCGUUUCCUGCCGGGUGUGUUCAUGGACGCCAUGCGGGACAACGCGGAGGCGGCAGUGCACAUCUUCGAGGGGACGCACGAGAACCCCGAGCUCAUCUGGAACGACGGCUCCCGGGAGACUGUCUCCACCACCGUCCGUGAGAUGAUGCUCGAGCACUUCAAACAGCAGAAGGAUAAUCCUGAUGUCAACUGGAGACUGCCAGAGGAGUUCACGGUGGCGUAUGGGGCGGGGCAGGGUGAGCUGGCGGUGGGCGGAGUCUUCCUGCGUAUCUUCAUCGCUCAGCCAGGCUGGGUGCUGCGCAAACCCAGGGAGUUCCUUGUGUCCCUCCUGGAGACCCUUACUGAGCUGUACGAGAAAAACAACCCCAAUGGUGAGGCCCUGGAGACGGUUACCACGGCGGCGGUGUGUUUGUUCAGCACACAGACCCAGCUGUGUGACCAGGUCCCUCCCCUGGGCCACCUGCCUCGCAUCCUGUCUGCACUGACCCACAAGAACAACGCCGUGCCCAAGAGCUCCAUCCGCCUCAUUCACGUGCUGUCGGACAAUGAGCAAUGUGUGCGCUCCAUGGCCUCUCUGGAGACCAUCGGUCCUCUGAUGAGUGGGAUGAAGAUGAGGGCAGACAUGGCAGGACUGGCCUGCGAGGCGCUCAACCGCAUGUUCCAGAGAGAGCAGACUGACCUGGUGGCUCAGGCCCUACGAGUGGAUUUGGUGCCGUACCUUCUGCGGCUACUGGAAGGGAUCGGGCUGGAGACCUUAGACAACCCCUCGGCCACCAAGGCUCAGAUCGUCAAGGCUCUCAAGUCCAUGACACGCAGUCUGCAGUAUGGCGAACAGGUGAAUGAAAUCUUGGCUCGGUCCACUGUGUGGAGUGCCUUCAAAGACCAGAAACAUGACCUAUUCAUCUCCGAGUCCCAGACCGCAGGGUACCUCACAGGUGUUUCCACUCCCUCUCUCAUGGCGGCCAGCAGCCCCCUGCGGAGUGGGCUGUAGUUUCCUGUGCAGGGCCCUCCCAGCGCGCCUCCUCUCUCUUUGCUCUGACGCAGGUCCAGGUGUAGCAGGCUACCUUACAGCAGGGACCGGUUCCACAGUGCUGCCCAGCGUUCCGCCUCCUGUGGACAAUGACAUUGGAGACUCAGGCUGAUUUGACUGACUGACAGACAGAGGGAGAAAUGCUCAGGCAUCCAGACUACCCUGUGGCUCACAGGCUGCAGCUCAGAGAGACUGCUCAGCUCUCUGGAGGGAGAAAGAGAGGGAGGGAGGAAAGGGGGCCAUCACAGACUAUCAUUGACUGUCUCCAAAAUGUCUGCCCUCAAACCCUUAAAAUGUCGCUCUCCUUCCCCGCCUCCAAACAGCACUCGUUGUAAACCUUUGUUUGAUUGUUUUAAAGCAAAUGAUAACACUUGUCAUCGAGUCAACCUUUUUUUCUUCUGUUUUUCCGCUUCUUUGUUUUUUUCCAAUGACACAAAUAGUUUACUUUUGUAUGAAUAUAUUUUUUAAUCUCAAAUUUUUUUUGUGGUGGGGAUAGACGAACAGAAGAAAAUUUGGACCUACCUCCCUCCAUUCUCUUCUCCUUCCUCUCUCCAUCAUGCCCGGUCUCACUGCUCUGCCUGGCAGCACAUACCCUCACAGAUCACAGCCACGAGUCCUGAAGGAGGGUACCUUAUGUGUAUCCGGCCUGAACAUGUGAUCACUGGACAAAGAUGAACUUAAUCUCCUCCGCUCACCUGUUUACAGGACCAGUCAAACCUUUCCUAAUUUUAUAAUGUAUGUUUUAGUGUGGUAUGGUUGAAAGAUGUUGAAAAAUGUUGUAAGGAGGAACUCACGGAACUGUGGUGUAUUAGUGCUCUGAACCCCCCUUAUAGGGAACAGCGCUUUGAGACAGGGCAAGACUAGACGUCAGCAUCCGUCUGCCCCUUUUUGAAGUGGUCACACGUGCGUUCGUUGUCUCCUUUCUGUAUUACCCCAAUCACGAUGAUCCUGCGCCAUACUUUGCUCUGCUCACUCUUUGACGUUUGACCUUUCUUCCACCACCACAAAUCUUUUUGUUCUUUUUCUUCCCCAGAAUGCGAAAAGCACUCUAAUAUUUAUAGGUAAAUAACGGUCUUUACCAAUUCAAAUUAGCUUCUGCUAAGACAUGAGGAAUGAUACUGACUCUGAUUAUAAAUAUAUGUGAAAGACUAGUGCAAUUGUGAAAUGUUCAAUGUAAUAUGACAAACUUUCUAUAUUGAAUGUACAUUUUAAAAGAAUCAGUCGCACUUGUAAAUACAAUUUUAGGAAAUAAAAAGGGAAUCCACAGUG
RNA transcript from Oncorhynchus tshawytscha (Chinook salmon), 8159 nucleotides. It is a transcript of the gene named dnaJ homolog subfamily C member 13, with no coding region annotated. Lineage: Eukaryota; Metazoa; Chordata; Actinopteri; Salmoniformes; Salmonidae. The record is from RefSeq and is a predicted model, not a curated record. The transcript has 55 exons.